UAGGGAAUCUUCCACAAUGGACGCAAGUCUGAUGGAGCAACGCCGCGUGAGUGAAGAAGGUUUUCGGACCGUAAAGCUCUGUUGUUGGUGAAGAAGGAUAGAGGUAGUAACUGGCCUUUAUUUGACGGUAAUCAACCAGAAAGUCACGGCUAACUACGUGCCAGCAGCCGCGGUAAUACGUAGGUGGCAAGCGUUGUCCGGAUUAUUGGGCGUAAAGCGAGCGCAGGCGGAAGAAUAAGUCUGAUGUGAAAGCCCUCGGCUUAACCGAGGAAUUGCAUCGGAAACUGUUUUCUUGAGUGCAGAAAGAGGAGAGUAGAACUCCAUGUGUAGCGGUGGAAUGCGUAGAUAUAUGGAAGAAUACCAGUGGCGAAGGCGGCUCUCUGGUCUGCAACUGACGCUGAGGCUCGAAAGCAUGGGUAGCGAACAGGAUUAGAUACCCUGGUAGUCCAUGCCGUAAAACGAUGAGUGCUAAGUGUUGGGAGGCUUCCGCCUCUCAGUGCUGCAGCUAACGCAUUAAGCACUCCGCCUGGGGGAGUACGACCGCAAGGUUGAAAC
Molecule: ribosomal RNA, 555 nt
Filed under: uncultured bacterium
Lineage: Bacteria
Description: partial 16S ribosomal RNA
Rfam family: Bacterial small subunit ribosomal RNA
Source: RNAcentral